Molecule: ribosomal RNA, 478 nt
Filed under: uncultured bacterium
Lineage: Bacteria
Description: partial 16S ribosomal RNA
Rfam family: Bacterial small subunit ribosomal RNA
Source: RNAcentral
GAUGAACGCUGGCGGCGUGCUUAACACAUGCAAGUCGAACGAGAAGUGGAGACGGACACCUUCGGGCGGAAGACUUUAUUUCGAGUGGCGGACGGGUGAGUAACGCGUGGGUAACCUGCCUCAUACAGGGGGAUAACAGUUGGAAACGACUGUUAAUACCGCAUAAGACCACAGCACCGCAUGGUGCGGGGGUAAAAACUCCGGUGGUAUGAGAUGGACCCGCGUUCGAUUAGCCAGUUGGCGGGGUAACGGCCCACCAAAGCGACGAUCGAUAGCCGAUCUGAGAGGAUGACCGGCCACAUUGGGACUGAGACACGGCCCAAACUCCUACGGGAGGCAGCAGUGGGGAAUAUUGCACAAUGGGGGAAACCCUGAUGCAGCGACGCCGCGUGAGUGAAGAAGUAUUUCGGUAUGUAAAGCUCUAUCAGCAGGGAAGAAAAUGACGGUACCUGAGUAAGAAGCCCCGGCUAACUACGUG